Molecule: long non-coding RNA, 345 nt
Organism: Homo sapiens (human)
Lineage: Eukaryota; Metazoa; Chordata; Mammalia; Primates; Hominidae
Exons: 3
Source: RefSeq, a predicted model, not a curated record
GCUUAGGACACCUAUAAGCCUGCUGUUCAAGAUGGCCUAGCAAACUGGUCAGUUACGAACUUUGCUGCAGGUCCCUGAAAAAAACUGGAGUCAAAGAAACUUUUCUUUUGAGCUGCUUGCAGCUUGUAGCAAUUGAGUAAAGUAUAUUGCUGUGAAUAACAUUUGAGGCAUAUUUGUUUCUCUCUACCUAAUUUCUCCAGAAUUUGGAAAUUAUUUACUACUAUGCAACAGAAGAAAACUAUGCCUGAAAUAUCUACAGGAGAAAUUCUGUGUAUGAGUGUUUAAGGAACCUCUUUUGUUACUCAAGUAACCAGAAUGAGUAAUAAAAAUCAAGCAUGAGUAGUA